UUUGAAUCACCAGUUGAAAAAAAUUCUUAAAAAAGAAAUAUACAAUUUUUUUUAUAAUGAUAAUAAACGGAGAGUAAAUUUGUUUUUGCAAACUAGAUAUUUCAUAAAUCAGAGGCAUUAUUAUGGAUGCAAAUCAUAAAAAAACAGCAAGCAAAUAGCGAAAAAUGCGACGGUAUCACGUCAAUUCGGUACAGCAUCAAUUCAGCGCAAAGACAAUAAGGCGCGGCGACAAUUCGGAAAAGAAAGGGUCUUCGACGAUAAUCUUCUCACAUAUCAUAAUGUGAAUUGGAUUGGCAAAUUAUUUCAAGAUGGAGAUAGAUAAGCACCGUUUCCGAUUUCUUUUUGGGAUCAAUAUGCUGCUAUAUUGGAGGGAAUUCCAAAAACAAAUAAUACAAUUGAAGGUUGAAGAGCAUUCUCAUUUCUACUAUCAUUGCACCAUCCUUCUAUUUGGAAAUUUUUAUAUGCUCUACGCUUAGAACAAUCGUUAACCGAAGCAAAAAAUGAAUAAUAUAUUUCUGGCACGCAACCCAGGAGAUCAAGAAAGGUUUAUCGGAAUACAACUGAAAAUAUUAUAUUAAUUGUAUCUGACUAUUUAAAUCGCCCAAUUAAAGAUUAUUUAAGGGGGAUCGCAUAUAAUUUUAAUUUACAAACAUAUUAUUGUUAUCUAUUUUUAAUGUUCU
Long non-coding RNA from Gordionus sp. m RMFG-2023, 680 nucleotides. RefSeq lists it as uncharacterized. The record is from RefSeq and is a predicted model, not a curated record. NCBI's taxonomy places the organism in Eukaryota, Metazoa, Nematomorpha, Gordioida, Chordodea, Parachordodidae. The transcript is spliced from 4 exons.